UUUUACAAUGGAGAGUUUGAUCCUGGCUCAGGAUGAACGCUAGCGGCAGGCCUAAUACAUGCAAGUCGAACGAUAUCAUCCAGCUUGCUGGAUGAGAAAGUGGCGCACGGGUGCGUAACGCGUAUGCAACCUACCUUAAUCUGGGGGAUAGCCCGGAGAAAUCCGGAUUAAUACCGCA
Molecule: ribosomal RNA, 178 nt
Filed under: Pedobacter kyonggii
Lineage: Bacteria; Pseudomonadati; Bacteroidota; Sphingobacteriia; Sphingobacteriales; Sphingobacteriaceae
Description: partial 16S ribosomal RNA
Rfam family: Bacterial small subunit ribosomal RNA
Source: RNAcentral